UAUCCUUUUGUAAAAUAGUCAGAUUCUUUACUAAACAGUCAGUUCCAUUGUGCCCUCAAUUCUGACACACAUUACACUUUGGUGGAAGCAGCUCACCACAGUUUCCAACUUUGAACCACCCUUGUCCAUAAAUGAUAUAUAUUCUGUACCAAUGGUUUUUGUAAGUUAGCUUCAGCUAAAACUCUAGCCAUAUCUAACCUGAUGGCAACAACAAUGCCCUUUGGUUGGGGUGGUUCUGAAAACUUGUAGACUAAGUUCUCGGCCAUAGUGAACCAAAGUGAGGUUACUCUUUGGUUCUGUGAGACUAAUAAUCACAAAUAUUUAAUGUGCCCUAUACACUGAGAUCAUCAAAACAUUGAGACAUAAUAAAAUGGGCCAAAAGUAGUAUCACAACUUUAGCUUCCCCUCCUCUAGAAAAAUCCGCUGCCUAGGAACCCCCUGCAAAAGUAUUCCUCACAUUCAGCUUCACGCACUCAUACAUGAAUCUUUAUCUAAGUAAUGCUGGAGUUUUCCAAUACCAGAUUCCUGAAGGCUUCUUGCUUUCCUCCCUGAAUGUGGAAAAUCCUUAUUAAUUGUUAAUAAACCGGACAGCGAGUUAAGAAGCAAGCACCAUUGGUAAACAAUAUAUAUUUACCGAGAUUUUCCAGAGAAGGCAUCAUUUAUUUGGUCAGGGGUUGGCCUUUCAGAGUAUGUUGAUAUCAAUACAUACUUUUCCUUUCCAUUUUCCUCAGUCACCCUCUUGUAAAGCUCAUACCGGUAAGGAUAAGACAUCCUGACCAUAUAUUCAGUGUAAAAGAUUCAGAGGCAAUUUUUGUGCUUUUCUUGAUAUUAUAUUCACAUCCAAAAGGUACCUUAGAGCGCCCAUAAUCGGGUAUUGUGUUCCAGCAUAAUAAAGUAGCCGAAAUACAUAGCAGUUGUCAAAUGUUAAGGCGUAUUCCAGCCUUUUUUCCCUGCCCAUUGUCUGAGACACAUAAAUAAAUAAUGGUAAGCAACGUAACCUUAUUUUCAGAUGGUUUUAUGUAAAUCACUGUGUGUGCUUACUUGCAUUAUGCCACUUGAAGCGGGUAAGUCCUGAAUAAUAAUGUAUGGUUACCCACAAGAGAUAGUGGUAUUUUUAACAGAUAAAGUUUAUUUUAUCAAAAAGUGAAAGCAGAAAGUGUACCUUGAGGCGAGGAUUAAUAAGUACAACUGGCCUCUUACCAGCAGCACUAGUCAUCGCUUGUAGAUCCUAACCAAAUGUAUAUAUUUUAUAGGAUGGGGGUUAAUACGUUGAAGUGAAUGAAAAUGCCUAGAAGUUCUAAGCUCCUUACAUCUAUGAUACAAUUUCCAACGGCAUUUUGUGGAGCCACUAAGAUGAAAAGGUCGUCUUCUUCAUCAACUUCUUUACCACCUGAGAAUCAAUAGCAGGAUAAUUUGUGUUAAUUGUAUCCAACUUGAUUAUGCAUCACAAGUUUCUACACUACAAAUUCUUGUAAGAUUCUCUUGUGUUUAAACAUGGUUUUUUGUUGAAAACUACAGUCAGUUUCGGAUGUUACCAAUUGCACCAAGCUUGACGAAAGUUCCCAAAGUUUCAUCAUCACCCCAGUCCAUAUAUUCUAAAAUCUUUCGAGUUCCCGCCAACUGCAGUGGCAUCCCAGCGAGUGCACCUUCCCCCAUUGACCCCUGAACGCAAACCUGGAAGAGGAAAGAAGCUUAAUUAACAAAUAAUUUCAAAUAAGUCUUCAAGACCAUGUCUUACCUUCACUCUUUUUCCAUCAUCAGCGAAUGAUAAAGCUAGAGUUCGCACCAGUUCCAUCAAGGUUCCUAUCCGGUAAACAUCCUACGUAUAUCACAAAUAGCAUAAAAUUAAUGAGGCUUCAGAAACACUAUAACACAGCUAGUAAAACGAAUAACUUACCAUUUCAGGAUUUAGCUCAGGGAUAUUUAUGUCUACCAGCCAGGUCGCUCGCGAAGAAACUACCCGGGAGCGACCUCUCGCAGCGACGUGCCGAGGUCGCUCCGCGUCUAUUUAUUUGGCGAAUUCAUGAUUUCUCAAGGGCCUUUUGGUCAUUUUAUUAUGCACGUUUUUACUUUUCAAAAACCUAUGUUUUAAGUACUUUUGUAAGCCACCAGAAAAUAAUCUCCUUUCUGAAGAACAACCAGAAACAACUUCUUUUGAUUCAGAUUUCAUUGCUCUCAUGUUCUUGUUGAUUUCUUAUCUAUUUCUCUACAUGAUUAAUUUGAAAUCCACCAUGGGUUUAAGAGGAAUCAUGGAGAUUAGUGAGUAAUCACCUUUUGAAUUCAUGGGUUAGGGAGAUCAAGGGUGAUUAGGUUAGUUCUAGGAUGUUUUAGUGUAGAUCAUUCUUGUUCUUUGCUAGCAGAGUAUUCAUAAUGCAUCUUCUGAGUUGGCCACUCAAAAGUUGAUCAAUAGGCAUUUCCCACCCAAAAGGUGUUUGAUGAAAUGCCUGAGACAACUCUCCUAGGCUUUUAGUAUACUUUGCCAAAGACAUGUGUUGUUAAAGAUGCUAAGAUAGCUAAUAGACUUGUUAGUAAUGAUUGCUUUUACAUUAUUCAACCAAAGACAUUUGAUGUUUGAGAUAUGUUAGCAAAUGAGCAUUCAUCUAGACAUAGAGCUUGUUUAGAAUUAUGUCUAGGCUUAAGGUUGAUAGUUUGAUUGAUCGUUUGCCAUCCUUAGUUCGAAACUUGAUCACCCAAGGUCUAAUCCAUAUGCCCAUGAGUUCUGUUUUCCCUUAGUAAAGAAAAUCAUUUCAUUUAUCAUUAAUCAUUAGUUUAAAAACCUCUUAAAUUAUCGGUUGCACUUAGAUUAAGUGAGUACUUGCAUUCUCGGUGCUUUGAUAUUCCUCAGAACUGGUUCGACAAUCACUAUACUACAACAUUUGUCUUACGAGCCUUGAAAACUCCUAACAUCACAAAUCAACGUGGAUUCAAACACCAACCAAAAACACUGACAAAGUAAAGGCAAUAAUAUAUGUUAAAUCAAGAUUCAAGAAGCCUAAACCCCAAAAGGGAACUACACUGGAGAAAAGUAAUUUCAAAACAAUUAAAGAUGUCAUGGCUGCGGUUUGCCUAAUGUUAUCACACGUUUUAACUGUUAGAGAAGAGGACAUAUGGCUAGGAAAUGUCCAAAUUAGUGAGUGAUGAUCCUCGUUGUAACUGGAGACUAUGAGUUCAAGACAUGGAGGAGAACCACGAUGAGCAAUAAGAGAAAACAUUUGCAACUUGCACUUUCCUUACUUUAUCCUUUUGUAAAAUAGUCAGAUUCUUUACUAAACAGUCAGUUCCAUUGUGCCCUCAAUUCUGACACACAUUACACUUUGGUGGAAGCAGCUCACCACAGUUUCCAACUUUGAACCACCCUUGUCCAUAAAUGAUAUAUAUUCUGUACCAAUGGUUUUUGUAAGUUAGCUUCAGCUAAAACUCUAGCCAUAUCUAACCUGAUGGCAACAACAAUGCCCUUUGGUUGGGGUGGUUCUGAAAACUUGUAGACUAAGUUCUCGGCCAUAGUGAACCAAAGUGAGGUUACUCUUUGGUUCUGUGAGACUAAUAAUCACAAAUAUUUAAUGUGCCCUAUACACUGAGAUCAUCAAAACAUUGAGACAUAAUAAAAUGGGCCAAAAGUAGUAUCACAACUUUAGCUUCCCCUCC
This 3645-nucleotide long non-coding RNA is filed under the name Brassica napus (rape). Its description in RNAcentral is "long non-coding RNA (BNAP_LNC021695)". Lineage: Eukaryota; Viridiplantae; Streptophyta; Magnoliopsida; Brassicales; Brassicaceae. The record is from RNAcentral.